Heterocephalus glaber (naked mole-rat) is the source of this 377-nucleotide non-coding RNA. The record is from RefSeq and is a predicted model, not a curated record. NCBI's taxonomy places the organism in Eukaryota, Metazoa, Chordata, Mammalia, Rodentia, Bathyergidae.
UCCAUCCCCAGUACUCCUGUGCCACUGUAGAUUUCUCAAGGAUAGAGGUGCUGGAAAGAAUAAAUACAGUAACAACAUCUCUUAUUAAUUGCUUUAAAGCUCCAAAGUACUUCAUAAAUACUCCCUCACUUGAUUCUCAAACACACUGGUGAGAGGCCUGUUAUUACACAUGAAUGAAAACUGGCGAGCUUUUGUGCAAAAGGGACAGCCCGUGUAGGAACUUGCGUGUGUCCAGGCGGGGCUGUGUGAAGUACUGUGACCCUGACAGGAACCACACCAUGCUGAUGUUGCCAGAUGCAGGGAAACUGCUAGAAAUGGAAAUGCUCCUUCAAUCGUAGUGCCACACUGCCUUGGAGCCAGCCGAUCAUGGACUGAAA